UAAGGAAUUUUCGGCAAUGGGGGAAACCCUGACCGAGCAACGCCGCGUGAGUGAUGAAGGCCCUACGGGUUGUAAAGCUCUGUUGUUAAGGAAGAAUACUAUGAUAAGGAAAUGUUUCAUAGCUGACGGUACUUUUCAAGAAAGUCACGGCUUACUACGUGCCAGCAGCCGCGGUAAUACGUAGGUGGCAAGCGUUAUCCGGAUUUAUUGGGCGUAAAGGGUGCGCAGGCGGUCUGUUAAGUUUAGGGUGAAAGCGUUGGGCUCAACCCAAUACAGCCUUAAAAACUGGCAGACUAGAGUGCAGAAGAGGGUAGUGGAAUUCCAUGUGUAGCGGUAAAAUGCGUAGAUAUAUGGAGGAACACCAGUGGCGAAGGCGGCUACCUGGUCUGUAACUGACGCUCAGGCACGAAAGCGUGGGGAGCAAAUAGG
This 429-nucleotide ribosomal RNA is filed under the name uncultured bacterium. Its description in RNAcentral is "bacterial SSU rRNA". It matches the Rfam family "Bacterial small subunit ribosomal RNA", at positions 355 to 776 of the family's 1533-position model. The record is from RNAcentral.